CCUACGGGAGGCAGCAGUAAGGAAUAUUGGUCAAUGGACGAAAGUCUGAACCAGCCAUGCCGCGUGAAGGAUUAAGGCCCUCUGGGUUGUAAACUUCUUUUAUCUGGGACGAAAAAAGGGUAUUCUUACUCACUUGACGGUACCAGAGGAAUAAGCACCGGCUAACUCCGUGCCAGCAGCCGCGGUAAUACGGAGGGUGCAAGCGUUAUCCGGAUUUACUGGGUUUAAAGGGUGCGUAGGUGGGCUUGUAAGUCAGUGGUGAAAUCUCCGGGCUUAACCCCGGAAACUGCCAUUGAUACUAUAGGUCUUGAAUUAUCUGGAGGUAAGCGGAAUAUGUCAUGUAGCGGUGAAAUGCUUAGAUAUGACAUAGAACACCAAUUGCGAAGGCAGCUUACUACGGAUAUAUUGACACUGAGGCACGAAAGCGUGGGGAUCAAACAGGAUUAGAUACCCUGGUAGUCCACGCCCUAAACGAUGGAUACUCGACAUCAGCGAUACACUGUUGUGUGUGAGACGAAGAUAUAAUACUACCACCGAGGUAGUACG
RNAcentral lists this ribosomal RNA (546 nucleotides) under uncultured bacterium. RNAcentral describes it as "bacterial SSU rRNA". It matches the Rfam family "Bacterial small subunit ribosomal RNA", at positions 338 to 884 of the family's 1533-position model. The record is from RNAcentral.